Molecule: long non-coding RNA, 6178 nt
Filed under: Malus domestica (apple)
Lineage: Eukaryota; Viridiplantae; Streptophyta; Magnoliopsida; Rosales; Rosaceae
Description: long non-coding RNA (MDOM_LNC014468)
Source: RNAcentral
CACCCACGCGGUACAGAUGUUGGUAAUCAAUGGUGUAUGAUUGACUGUGAUAUAGCAAUAAAUGACAGUCAUGUACAAAUCAAACGCAGUCGCGCUUCUUUACUUCGGGGCCCGUUUGUUUUACUUUUCCCCUGUCAAAUCCAAGUUUUAAUUGCUUUUUUAAAGAAGAAUUUUGGUCUGUCUACAAUGAUAUCCACACAUCAUUUUUUACUCCUCACACAGCACUUAUUGAUUUAUAUUAUUUGAUCUUCUUCAAUUCAUUCAAUCCAACCGCCGAAAAUUAAGAGAGUGUGUAAGAAGUAAAAAAUGGUGUGUGGAUAGCACACCCCUAGAACAAAAGGAAAACUAAUGAAAAAUGUUUGAAAACUUUGAAUUUUAACGAUAAAAAACAAAAUAAAGGGUAAAGUGAAUAGUAUCAUGAUUGGUUUUUUAGUGUAAAAAUAUAGUUUUUCAUUAAAAUGAACAGUAUCAGAAACGUUUUGUUAAAGUUCUCUAAAACAAAAGGUCAUUUGGGAUGAGUAACAAUAUGGCAUAUGAUUUUAAAAAUUGGCCAAAUCUUGUUGGUAAAUCUUACAAUGCCCCUCCUUUGUUGAGAGAAAUUUUGGUAUGAUUGACUGUUAAAAUAGUUUUCACUAAGAUUCGGUCAUAAAAUACAAAAGUCACAUCCUUUUACUAGAGACGCAUCAUAAUUCUUACAUAUUAAAACUAUACAGUACCAGACACAAGAUAAAUUUUUCAAAAAAUAAGGUUUUUUUUAUUGAAUAAGCCAAUUCAUUUGGAACCCUACAGAUCCACUCUUUUUUCCUAUUCAAAUAUCAGCUUGUGUUUUCACAUCGAGAAUUCUUUGUGGAUAAAGAGAUAUAGUCAAAGUGUUUCUACGUAAGUCUAUUUUCGUUUUGACUAUAUUGAACUAUCAAGUUAAUAGAUUGUUUGUUUGCAAAAAUACCGUGUCAGUAUUCAAGUGCUGCGAUAAACAGAAGAACCAGCCCUAGCUGUUGAUCCCUAACUUUGGCUUGGGGUCGGUGGCAAUGUCAUUUCCUCUUCCCUCUUCUCGCUCCCCUCUCUUCAGCUGGUUCCCAAUCCCCUCUUGGGUGGUUGCUUCCUGAGUUGUAUCUUAACUUUCCUGAGCUCUAUCCCAGAUUGAAUAUAAUAUCUUCUUUUCUAUUUUAAAUUUUGUUUUGUUAUUAGCAAUCCAAACUCGACUUGUUCAUUUUUAAAGUCAUUUUUUCUUCUUACUCAACUGUCCACCAUUGAGUUUUAUUAUUUAGCAAGUGAAUAUUUGUUUUUUAAAUUCAGAGAGUAAUUGUUCAUUUUGUUAUGAAUAAAAUCUUUGACAACAUUUUUUUUAACUGUUUAAAAUAGAAAUUUUCUUCAAUGGUCUGGUGUCUAGACUACUGAAUAGCACAAAAAAUAAAAUGUCGUUAUUCAGUUGAUGAAAUUUUUUUUUUCUUUUCACUACGGAUUUAAUAGAUAAAAUUUUUAAAUACUUAAUAAUUCGGACCACUAAAAUGAACCGUGUUUUUCACAGAGGACUUAAAAAGUCCACACGAGGACUAAGUUACGGUUGAAAUGCAUCCGCCAGAAUCCUUUGUUUUCUAGUUUGCAACGAGGACAUACGCUAGGGUGGAAGUGCACACAAGAAAACACAACCCUUUGUUUCCAUAUGCGUAGCACGAGAACAAGACAAAGCAUAAAAAGCAACACCAAUUUACCUUUCAAUCCCCUCACCUCACCGUGUUACGAACAUUGAACGGUCCACGUUAAUCCAUUUUUCCUAGUGGACAUGAUGUUUAUUCAACGUAAAACGUGCAUUUGUCAAACCCUAUCAAAUAAUAUCCCCUUUGGAUUAUCCCUAAACCGUUCUCAUCUGUAGAUAUUUAUUUCUGAGAGAGGUUUCUAGCGUCCAAGAAAAACAUAUCUUCAGUGACACGCUCAAGUUAGAUGUAUAUAUAUUUUCAACGACAGAUAAAUAUCCAAAUGAUUAUGUUUAAGAUCAUGAUAAUCAUGUAACGCUGUGUGCAAAAUUUAAAAUGAAUAUCUUCAUAUGAUUUGCUUUGGUAAUUAUGUUUGACAUUAUGUGGUGUGGGAAGAUGCAUGCUUCUGGAAGCGUUAUGUCAUUUUCCAUACAACACAUUUAUACUGCAGUGAUAAAUUGAAUCCGACACCGCCAUCAGACUGACUCGCGGCAGAAACUUAUCAUUUUCAAUGAAGAGGCAAUCAAUCAGGCGGCAAUGCAUAUAAUAUUCCCACAGCUUUUGCUUAAUCGGAAAAAUACCACGCCCUUGUUUCACACAAGGUAGCAACUUAUAAUUAAGUUUCAGAAAUGCUUUUAACUAAAAGAAAACGAAUGGAAAUGAUUUGAAAAUUUUGAGUUUUAUCGAUGAAGAUAAAAUAAAGGAUAAAAUGAAUAGUACAAUGAUUGACUUUCUAGUGUAAAAAUACGGUUUUUCGUUAAAAUGAACAGUACCAGAAGCUUUUCGUUAAAGUUACCUAAAAAAUAAUUGAAAGCAUUUUUACAAGAUUAAUUAUGCUUUUUUUUUAUUAGAAAAUACUUCAAGCAUUUUUUCUAAAUUUACGAAUAUUUUAUUAAGAAUUAGUUUCGAAAAAUAUUUUUACCUAAAUAUUUUCACUUAUUUUAAAAAGGCUUCCAAACAAACUAUCAACUUCCAGGUAAAUAAAAUAUUUACUUUUUUAUAUUAAUUUUUAAUUUUAUGGUUUUGAUUAAGUAUUUAAACAAUUUGGUUAUUCAAUUAAUAAUUAAUCAUCAAGUUGAGCAUCUUAGUAGACCUCGAUAAAAACCACUUGCAAAAGUUGUUUGAGUUUGUGUAAGACUCAAGGGCAUCUAUGUGUUCCAAAUUACAAUUAUUCAAUUAUUGUAUUGAGCUACAAGAUCUACUUGUGACAUUGCUUUGCUUCCACAACAAUUAUAGCAUCAUCAUCCUCCUUUUAUUUUGUUUAAUUUCCAAUUAUCAAAUUCCUCACAAUCCCCCCAAUGUCAAACUAUUAAACUUUACACUGUAGUGGUAGAUAUUUAACGAGAAGAGGUCUCGAGUUCGAUCAUACAAAUUUGAAAACGAUAUACAUUUAUAAUGAAUUCAAUACACAGUUAUUGUUGACCAUGAGUUCGUUAUUAGUUUAACGCAUGUUGAAUAGUAAUCUAGUGAUUAACAAUAGAGAUUAACAGUAAAAAUGGAGAUGAGAAAGGAUAAUUUGGGGAUUAGAUCCCAUCCGGAUCCACUUUGUGGAGAUCCUAGGGAUUACCACAUUUUAACCAUUUAUCAUGUAUCGUGCGGUCAUAAAUUACUUGACUUUUUUUUAUUUAAAAUUAAACACAAAUAGCAUCUGACGAAAAUUGAUCGCACGAUAUACGAUAAACGGUUAGGAUGUGGAAAUCCCUAAGAUCCUGAUAAAAUGACUCCGUAGAAGAUCCUCUUCCGCUAAUUUGGACCUAUUGUCGCUAAAAGUGAUUAAGUGAAGAUUAAAAAGUUUUUACCCUCUAAUGUGGGCCCUCCCUUUGAUGACUCGCAUUCAAAACGUGAAUACAAAACCUUGAUAAUAUGAGGACCAGAACCGAAGGACUGAAAAGAGAUUUAAUAUACGAAGUUUUAACGAAAAGUUUGCGGUAUUGUUCACUUUAAUGAAAAAUUAUAUUUUUACACUAAAAAGUUAAUCAUGGUACUAUUCACUUUACCUUGAAAAAUCAUAUUUUUACACUAAAAAGUCAAUUAUGGUACUAUUCACUUUACCUUUUAUUUUAUCCUUAUCGUUAAAACUCAAAGUUUUCAAGCUAUUUUAAUUAGUUUUCCUUUUAAUAUAAGGUACAUAUCAUUAAAGGAUUUAACUUUGCUGUUGCUUACACCUAAUUCAGGCUGAACACGUGUUCAAAUUUUGAUUUAAAAAAUUAAAAUUUAAACAUGUGUCCAGCCAAAAUUAAGUGUAAGCAGCAACUGCUGCUGAAUUUGCAACAGCCAAGUCCAGUUCGUCAUUAAAAUCCUCAAUUUGGUAGCAAACUCCGGCAAAUUAUACAUCCACAUAUUAUCUUAAUUUUGGAAAAACCAAGACGAGGAUAUGUAUUGCAUAGUACCAAACGAAACGCAAUCCCCCCCACGUGCAGCACAACCAAGCACCUAAAUUUGCGGAUAUAAGCACAAAGGACGAAAGCCAUAUUAAACUAAAGAGAAAUCCAGCUUGAGAAUACUUUUAAUUAAUUGAGUUAUAAAUUUUUUAAGUAUUUCAAUAUAAGAUAAUAAAGUCUUUCUCUGUUAUUUUAUUUAUGGAUUACGUUCGAGUUAAACCAGUUAGCCAUUAGUUUAAGAGUGCUAUAUUUACUAUUAUUUGUGUUAUUUUUUAAUAGAGGCAAAUAUCUACCAACACAUGAGUAAUAUUUUUGCUAGUUUAAUGGUGUUUGUCCCCACAUUGUUGAAGGCUGUCUCAAGUUAGCAAAGAUGAUAUAUAUUUACGAUGAGUUUGAUACGUAAUUAUGGAUAGUCUCGUUACAAUUGUGUCGCCUUAUUGUAGCACUGCUUGUACCAUUUUAAAAGUGUGAGUAAAUAUCUUAUCGUAUGUAAAAAGAGAAGUGAAUGAAGUGUAAUAAAAUUAUCAAAACUAAUUUCAUGACACAAUCUGGUAAGGGAAAGAUGAUUAACACAAAGCUUCGUGUGACGUUCUUAACAACUCGAGCAACAUACUCCAUGCGACAAUCAGAACCGUUUAGGUUAUAAAUUGUUUUUUAUAGUCAAUACCAUACCAAAUGCCAGCUACCACUCCUUCCACCACACCCCAAAACCCACAUGGGCUACAUCGAAGUGGAAGGUUAGAAAACUAACCAGAUAUUUUCAACCAAUUUUUUUCUUUAAUAACGCCAAAUUAAUCAACAGUCUGGAAAAUGAACAAAGAUUAAUCAUUGUGUUUAAAAAUCAAACGGUUGAAGAUUGUUCAAAAUACCUGGUAGGCUGGAUUGUCGAAAACAAAUAUUUUCAUCACCAAAUUUGCAUGGAAAAUGGUUAGAACUCCGCAAUUUCUUCUUACAUAUAAAUCACAGUUACGUACUAACUGCGAAUUAAUCUGAGCCAUACAAGCUCUAACACUGCUGCAAAUAGGAUUUUACCAAAUACCCUCAAAUCGCAGAAAAUGAAGUCUUCCCACAAUGUUAUUUGGUAACACUAUGGUGGAACCAGAUGACGUCACAAAGGGCAAAUAUGUGAACAAAUAGUACAAACACAAAGCAGCAGCAGAGUAGUGAGCAGAUCUACGUUACAUCCAUUAGACCCCAACCCACCCCCAAAAUUAACCAAAAUUAAAAAAACCACCCAAUCCCAGAAAAUAAUUAAAUUUUUCCCCCUCACUUCUCGCUCCCUCUAGUAAUCAUGCCCUUGUACCUUAUGAUCGAAUCCAACCGCUGCAACUUCAGUUGGUUCUUGAACUUGUUGAUGAAAUCAUCCGCCUUCGCAUCCACCUCAUCGUCGUCCUCCGCCGCCUUCGCCACCUUCCUCUCCCUCAUCGUCGCCGGCCGGCGAAUCUCGGCGACAUCAUCCUCUUGAAAGUGAGCGAAAGCAGACUUGGAGCUCGCAGACUUCUUCAUCUUCUUCGGGAGCUUGGCGGGCACCUCGCCGGACGCCGGCUUGGUGUCCGACUUGGUCCGGCUCACAUGGUGGUCCUGCAACGGCUUCAGCUGACUGAAAACCUCCUCCAGACUGCUCUGUGUAUCACCUGCUUCUGAAAAAUCUGGAGUUUCUGGUUCUGGGUGUUCGUGUUCUUCAAAAAGGUCGUCAUCUGGGAACUCGUCGUGCUCCGGAGCUUGCUCGAAGUUGGAUUCCGGCUCAUGGGUUUUGUGCGGAGGGGCAGCGGCGGCGGGGGGCUGAGAUGGGUAGAAAUUGAUGGACUUGAGCCGCUGCAGCAGAGAAGGGGAUCUGGUCAAUGGGGGCUGUUCGAGCUCGUGGGUGUGCUUAAAAGCGUAAUGGGUAGCCUCAGUAGUUUCUGGGUGUUGCUCGAAAGUGCCGGCGUGUGGCUCCGGGGAUCUGUACUGGUAGAGGUUGAUGGAUUUGAGCCUCUGCAGCAUAGAUGGAGAUCUGGCGAGGCCUCCGCCUUGGUGGUUGUUCUGGUGCUGCUGCGGGUCCUGCUGUUUCUGGGUGGAGCCCAAGUUUGAAGCAAUGGCGAUGGUGCCAAUCAUGACAUUGAG